Molecule: ribosomal RNA, 245 nt
Filed under: uncultured bacterium
Lineage: Bacteria
Description: partial 16S ribosomal RNA
Rfam family: Bacterial small subunit ribosomal RNA
Source: RNAcentral
AGGGUGCAAGCGUUGUCCGGAAUUACUGGGCGUAAAGAGCUCGUAGGUGGUUUGUCGCGUCGUCUGUGAAAUACCGGGGCUUAACUCCGGAGCUGCAGGCGAUACGGGCAUAACUUGAGUGCUGUAGGGGAGACUGGAAUUCCUGGUGUAGCGGUGGAAUGCGCAGAUAUCAGGAGGAACACCGAUGGCGAAGGCAGGUCUCUGGGCAGUAACUGACGCUGAGGAGCGAAAGCAUGGGGAGCGAA